This 253-nucleotide ribosomal RNA is filed under the name uncultured bacterium. RNAcentral describes it as "partial 16S ribosomal RNA". It matches the Rfam family "Bacterial small subunit ribosomal RNA", at positions 524 to 776 of the family's 1533-position model. The record is from RNAcentral.
UACGUAGGGUGCAAGCGUUGUCCGGAAUUAUUGGGCGUAAAGAGCUCGUAAGCGGUUCGUCGCGUCGGCUGUGAAAUCCCGGAGCUCAACUCCGGGUCUGCAGUCGAUACGGGCGGACUCGAGUUCGGCAGGGGAGACUGGAAUUCCUGGUGUAGCGGUGAAAUGCGCAGAUAUCAGGAGGAACACCGGUGGCGAAGGCGGGUCUCUGGGCCGAUACUGACGCUGAGGAGCGAAAGCGUGGGGAGCGAACAGG